This 449-nucleotide ribosomal RNA is filed under the name uncultured bacterium. Its description in RNAcentral is "partial 16S ribosomal RNA". It matches the Rfam family "Bacterial small subunit ribosomal RNA", at positions 338 to 795 of the family's 1533-position model. The record is from RNAcentral.
CCUACGGGUGGCUGCAGUGGGGAAUUUUGGACAAUGGGGGCAACCCUGAUCCAGCCAUGCCGCGUGAGUGAAGAAGGCCUUCGGGUUGUAAAGCUCUUUCGGCCGGGAAGAAAUCGCUUCGGCUAAUACCUGGAGUGGAUGACGGUACCGGAAGAAGAAGCACCGGCUAACUACGUGCCAGCAGCCGCGGUAAUACGUAGGGUGCGAGCGUUAGUCGGAAUUACUGAGGGUAAAGCGUAAGAAGGAGGUGAAAUCCCCGGGCUUAACCUGGGAACUGCGUGUGAGACUGCGAGACUUGAGUGCGGCAGAGGGGGGUGGAAUUCCACGUGUAGCAGUGAAAUGCGUAGAGAUGUGGAGGAACACCGAUGGCGAAGGCAGCCCCCUGGGUCGACACUGACGCUCAUGCACGAAAGCGUGGGGAGCAAACAGGAUUAGAUACCCCAGUAGUC